UAGCUCAACUGGAUAGAGUAUUUGGCUUCGGACCAAAGGGUUGCAGGUUCAAAUCCUGC
RNAcentral lists this transfer RNA (59 nucleotides) under Clostridium sp. RNAcentral describes it as "tRNA-Arg". It matches the Rfam family "tRNA", at positions 8 to 63 of the family's 71-position model. From Rfam's summary of the family: Transfer RNA (tRNA) molecules are approximately 80 nucleotides in length. Their secondary structure includes four short double-helical elements and three loops (D, anti-codon, and T loops). Lineage: Bacteria; Bacillati; Bacillota; Clostridia; Eubacteriales; Clostridiaceae. The record is from RNAcentral.